CGGCGCGUGGUGGAAUUGGUAUACACAACAGACUUAAAAUCUGUCCCGCUUUGCGGUUGCGAGUUCGAGUCUCGCCGCGCCGACCA
RNAcentral lists this transfer RNA (86 nucleotides) under Rhodospirillaceae bacterium. RNAcentral's name for it is "tRNA-Leu". It matches the Rfam family "tRNA". From Rfam's summary of the family: Transfer RNA (tRNA) molecules are approximately 80 nucleotides in length. Their secondary structure includes four short double-helical elements and three loops (D, anti-codon, and T loops). The record is from RNAcentral. Lineage: Bacteria; Pseudomonadati; Pseudomonadota; Alphaproteobacteria; Rhodospirillales; Rhodospirillaceae.